Long non-coding RNA from Peromyscus leucopus (white-footed mouse), 426 nucleotides. RefSeq lists it as uncharacterized. Lineage: Eukaryota; Metazoa; Chordata; Mammalia; Rodentia; Cricetidae. The record is from RefSeq and is a predicted model, not a curated record. The transcript is spliced from 3 exons.
CGAGGAAACAGGAUCAGCUGAGGAAACUGGUGAGGAGUUGGGCAUGCGGGAGUCAAGUAUGGUGUGCAGUGAUGAUCAGCCACAGUGGGACCAGCAUGAAAGAACACGCAGAACACACCCAGGAGAACAAGCAAGGUGCCUUGACCAGCGUCUGGAAGGACUGGUCUGUUAUUCAAUUGAAAAGAGGUGGAGUUUCCAUUCAGCUGGCCAGAAUGGACCAGCCUGCCUUGGAGGACCCAGAAGAGAGAGAGUGACCUGAAGGGAAGAAGUGGGGCCAGAAGGUGACUUGGGUCCCUUUGGAGCAGGGAAGCCAGCACUGGUGGGUGUUCUCGGGGGUUUGUGACUGACUCAGGUUUCUAUUUUGUUCUUUAUUAUUUGUGCACGGGUUUUGUUUUUAUAAUAAAUGGCAAAAGAAAUAAUUUACAA